GCCUAGCCGUAAUAUACAAUUAAACCACUAAUUGUCCGCCAAACAACUACGAGUAAUACUUAAAACUUAAAAGACUUGACGGUGCUUCACCACGCCCUAGAGGAGCCUGUCUAGUAACCGAUAAUCCACGAUUAACCCAGCCCCCUCUGGCCUAACAGUCUAUAUACCGCCGUCGCCAGCUUACCUUGUAAAAGAAAUAAAGUGAGCUAAAUAGCCCCACACUUAAACGACAGGUCGAGGUGUAACUAAUGGGGGGGACUUAGAUGGGCUACAUUCUCUUGUCCGAGAAUACGAACAACACUAUGAAAUAAGUGUUUAAAGGCGGAUUUAGCAGUAAGAUAAGAAUAAAACACUUAACUGAACAUAACGCAAUGAAGUGCGUACACACCGCCCGUCACCCCUGCCACCACAACACAUCUUUAAUAAACAACCAAAAAACACAAACCAGGGCAAGUCGUAACAUGGUAAGUGUACUGGAAAGUGCACUU
Molecule: ribosomal RNA, 488 nt
Filed under: Crotalus pusillus
Lineage: Eukaryota; Metazoa; Chordata; Lepidosauria; Squamata; Viperidae
Description: partial 12S ribosomal RNA
Source: RNAcentral